Molecule: ribosomal RNA, 492 nt
Filed under: uncultured bacterium
Lineage: Bacteria
Description: partial 16S ribosomal RNA
Rfam family: Bacterial small subunit ribosomal RNA
Source: RNAcentral
AGUGAACGCUGGCGGUAGGCCUAACACAUGCAAGUCGAACGGCAGCACAGUAAGAGCUUGCUCUUACGGGUGGCGAGUGGCGGACGGGUGAGGAAUACAUCGGAAUCUACUUUUUCGUGGGUGAUAACGUAGGGAAACUUACGCUAAUACCGCAUACGUCCUACGGGAGAAAUCAGGGGAUCUUCGGACCUUGCGCGAUUGAAUGAGCCGAUGUCGGAUUAGCUAGUUGGCGGGGUAAAGGCCCACCAAGGCGACGCUCCGUAGCUGGUCUGAGAGGAUGAUCAGCCACACUGGAACUGAGACACGGUCCAGACUCCUACGGGAGGCAGCAGUAGGGAAUAUUGGACAAUGGGCGAAAGCCUGAUGCAGCCAUGCCGCGUGAGUGAAGAAGGCCUUCGGGUUGUAAAGCUCUUUUGUUGGGAAAGAAAAGAAGCAGGUUAAUACCCCGCUGUUUUGACGGUACCCAAAGAAUAAGCACCGGCUAACUUCGUG